Molecule: ribosomal RNA, 492 nt
Filed under: uncultured bacterium
Lineage: Bacteria
Description: partial 16S ribosomal RNA
Rfam family: Bacterial small subunit ribosomal RNA
Source: RNAcentral
AAUGAACGCUGGCGGUAGGCCUAACACAUGCAAGUCGAACGGCAGCACAGUAAGAGCUUGCUCUUACGGGUGGCGAGUGGCGGACGUGUGAGGAAUACAUCGGACUCUACUUUUUCGUGGGGGAUAACGUAGGUAAACUUACGCUAAUACCGCAUACGACCUACGGGUGAAAGCAGUGGAUCUUCGGACCUUGCGCGAUUGAAUGAGCCGAUGUCGGUUUAGCUAGUUGGCGGGGUAAAGGCCCACCAAGGCGACGAUCCGUAGCUGGUCUGAGAGGAUGGUAGGCCACCCUGGAACUGAAACAGCGUCAAGACUCCUACGGGAGGCAGCAGUGGGGAAUAUUGGACAAUGGGCGGAAGCAUGAUCCAACCAUACCGAGUGGGAGACGAAGGCCUUCGGGUUGUAAAGACCUUUUGUUGGGAAAGAAAAGCAGCAGGUUAAUACCCCGCUGUUCUGACGGUACCCAAAGAAUAAGCACCGGCUAACUUCGUG